GCCGGGCGUGGUGGCGGGCGCCUGUAAUCCUAGCUAUUUGGGAGGCUGAGGCAGGAGAAUCGCUUGAACCCGGGAGGCGGAGGUUGCAGUGAGCCAAGAUCGCGCCACUGCAUUCCAGCCUGGGCAACAGAGCAAGACUCUGUCUCAA
This 148-nucleotide non-coding RNA is filed under the name Gorilla gorilla gorilla (western lowland gorilla). The record is from Rfam by way of RNAcentral. Lineage: Eukaryota; Metazoa; Chordata; Mammalia; Primates; Hominidae.